AGCCAGCUGAACGGCCGCAUCGAUUCUUCGAUGAGGAAAGUCCGAGCAUCACAGGGCAGAGUGACGGAUAACGUCCGCUGAAGGUGACUUUAAGGAUAGUGCAACAGAAAUAUACCGCAGCCCUCUACGGGCUGUAAGGGUGGAAAGGUGCGGUAAGAGCGCACCGGCAGUUCGGCAACGAAAUUGACCGUGUAAACCCCACUUGAUGCAAGAGAGAAACAGAUAGUUUGCCCGACUUGUUUCAAAAUCGCUUGAGCGUUUCGGUAACGAUCCGCCUAGACAGAUGGCCGUUCCAGACAGAACUCGGCUUACAGGCUGACUCAU
Molecule: RNase P RNA, 324 nt
Filed under: pig gut metagenome
Description: Bacterial RNase P class A
Rfam family: Bacterial RNase P class A
About the family: Ribonuclease P (RNase P) is a ubiquitous endoribonuclease, found in archaea, bacteria and eukarya as well as chloroplasts and mitochondria.
Source: RNAcentral